UACGGGAGGGGCAAGCGUUGUUCGGAAUUACUGGGCGUAAAGGGCUCGCAGGCGGCCGACUACGUCAGACGUGAAAUCCCUUGGCUUAACCAAGGAAUGGCGUCUGAUACUGGACGGCUUGAAUUCGGGAGAGGGAUGUGGAAUUCCAGGUGUAGCGGUGAAAUGCGUAGAUAUCUGGAGGAACACCGGUGGCGAAGGCGGCAUCCUGGACCGAUAUUGACGCUGAGGAGCGAAAGCCAGGGGAGCAAACGGG
Molecule: ribosomal RNA, 253 nt
Filed under: uncultured bacterium
Lineage: Bacteria
Description: partial 16S ribosomal RNA
Rfam family: Bacterial small subunit ribosomal RNA
Source: RNAcentral